UCUAAUAUGGCAGAUUAGUGCAUCGGACUUAAGCCCCGAUUAUAAAAUUAUUUUUUUUUUUAGAA
RNAcentral lists this transfer RNA (65 nucleotides) under Trigonopterus sp. 1 AH-2016. RNAcentral describes it as "tRNA-Leu". The record is from RNAcentral. Lineage: Eukaryota; Metazoa; Arthropoda; Insecta; Coleoptera; Curculionidae.